Molecule: ribosomal RNA, 253 nt
Filed under: uncultured bacterium
Lineage: Bacteria
Description: partial 16S ribosomal RNA
Rfam family: Bacterial small subunit ribosomal RNA
Source: RNAcentral
UACGUAGGGGGCAAGCGUUGUCCGGAUUUAUUGGGCGUAAAGGGCUCGUAGGUGGCCAACUAAGUCAGACGUGAAAUCCCUCGGCUCAACCGGGGAACUGCAUCUGAUACUGGAUGGCUUGAGAUUGGGAGAGGGAUGCGGAAUUCCAGGUGUAGCGGUGAAAUGCGUAGAUAUCUGGAGGAACACCGGUGGCGAAGGCGGCAUCCUGGACCAACACUGACGCUGAGGAGCGAAAGCCAGGGGAGCAAACGGG